GAAGCCUAAAUGGGCCAAUUUGGGUAGAGUAAUGUUUGAUUCUUCUGUCUCUAAGGACUCUGCAACUACAGUAGCAUCACCGGCAUCUUUGUCGAUAUCCACCUUGAAUUCAUUGAAGUUUCAGUUGCCCAGUUUCAUAUCUUGGGUUGCCAACGACGGAAUUCAGAAGGACUCUUCCUCUGCGCCGCCUAGCCUUAGGCAUGAUUUCAGUUCUUCACAGUUGCAAAAGGAUAAAUCCGGCA
This 242-nucleotide unclassified non-coding RNA is filed under the name Hevea brasiliensis (rubber tree). The record is from RNAcentral. Lineage: Eukaryota; Viridiplantae; Streptophyta; Magnoliopsida; Malpighiales; Euphorbiaceae.